This 301-nucleotide ribosomal RNA is filed under the name uncultured bacterium. Its description in RNAcentral is "partial 16S ribosomal RNA". It matches the Rfam family "Bacterial small subunit ribosomal RNA", at positions 509 to 808 of the family's 1533-position model. The record is from RNAcentral.
CAGUAGCGCGGUAAUACGUAGGGUGCGAGCGUUAAUCGGAAUUACUGGGCGUAAAGCGUGCGCAGGCGGUUGUGUAAGACAGGUGUGAAAUCCCCGGGCUUAACCUGGGAACUGCGCUUGUGACUGCACAGCUAGAGUAUGGCAGAGGGGGGUGGAAUUCCACGUGAAGCAGUGAAAUGCGUAGAGAUGUGGAGGAACACCGAUGGCGAAGGCAGCCCCCUGGGCCAAUACUGACGCUCAUGCACGAAAGCGUGGGGAGCAAACAGGAUUAGAUACCCGUGUAGUCCCUGUCUCUUAUACC